GUGGGGAAUCUUCCGCAAUGGACGAAAGUCUGACGGAGCAACGCCGCGUGAGUGAUGAAGGUCUUCGGAUUGUAAAGCUCUGUUAAUCGGGACGAAAGAGCCUAGUGUGAAUAAUGCUAGGAAGUGACGGUACCGGAAUAGAAAGCCACGGCUAACUACGUGCCAGCAGCCGCGGUAAUACGUAGGUGGCAAGCGUUGUCCGGAAUUAUUGGGCGUAAAGCGCGCGCAGGCGGAUCUGCCAGUCUGUCUUAAAAGUUCGGGGCUUAACCCCGUGAUGGGAUGGAAACUACAGAUCUAGAGUAUCGGAGAGGAAAGUGGAAUUCCUAGUGUAGCGGUGAAAUGCGUAGAUAUUAGGAAGAACACCAGUGGCGAAGGCGACUUUCUGGACGAAAACUGACGCUGAGGCGCGAAAGCCAGGGGAGCGAACGGGAUUAGAUACCCCGGUUAGUCC
Molecule: ribosomal RNA, 451 nt
Filed under: uncultured bacterium
Lineage: Bacteria
Description: partial 16S ribosomal RNA
Rfam family: Bacterial small subunit ribosomal RNA
Source: RNAcentral